AUCCAAGAUGGCGGCUGACAAUGAAGCCUCGAAGUUGUUGGAAGUAAUCAAUACGAAAUACAAGAAAAAACCCGGAACUCUACGCCUUCUCACUAACACAUUAACAUGGACUCUUCAUGGAAGCAACGCAGCCAAAAUAGACUGCAAAUAUUUGGAGAUCAAAGUGGCGCUUGCAAGGGUCAUUGCCAAAGGUGCCAGUACCAGCAGUAAAAGAACAGGACUGCUUUCCUUCACACAGCUCUUUCACCUUGAUUAACGAACUGGAUUCGUCUCCGCAAGGCACCGCCAUGAAAGGAUGAGGGCAGACGUCUUUGGAAGAGCGACCAUAUAGAGCCCAUUUGAUACUAAGAAGCUUCCCAUUUGGGCACGACAUAUUCAAGACACUUUUCUCACACGCUGUGAACAAAUGAUACAUACUUUAAAAAAUUUCAAAUAUUU
Actinia tenebrosa (Australian red waratah sea anemone) is the source of this 438-nucleotide long non-coding RNA. The record is from RefSeq and is a predicted model, not a curated record. NCBI's taxonomy places the organism in Eukaryota, Metazoa, Cnidaria, Anthozoa, Actiniaria, Actiniidae.